GUGGCUUUUUUACUUCUACUACCGCCUGUUUUAAUGUUUUCUAUGCGAUCAGCAUGUGCAGUGAUAUCCCACAUGACAAUCUGAAACAGAAAUAAAUGUUACUAAAUAUUUUCAGGGUUAAAGAUUAAAACAAUUUAUUCAUAUUGGUAUGCACUUGGAUGAAUCAAUCACCUUGGGGGAUAAUCAAACUCAGCCUACAUCUUAGGUUUGAAAGCUGCACUCACUCCCAAGGCCUUUAGGAGCUGCCCCACAAGAAUUCCACCCACGGUUUUACCCUAAUGAUUUAAAGUCCAAGUAGCCUGCUGUUGUAAUAGGGGUGGUAACCUGAAAGAGUGCCUAUGAAUUAGGAAUUUUCGAAAAUAAGAAAAAACUUAUUUUAUUUAGACAAUCAGACAUAAACAUCAAAUAUCAUAAUGUAUAUGCUUCAAAAUUAAGCAAAGGCACCACACCAUUUAAUGCCCUCUGUCACUAAACAUUAACACUACCAUUUGCUGCUUAAUUGAAUACUCUGGGUUAAGUUCUUCUUGCCCUUCAUCUUUCCAAUGAGAGCAUUUUCUAGGACCAGCAGAGUCGGCACUGCCGGGAGCUGUCAGAAAUUCGAGUCACAGGCGUCACUCCAGACGACUGAGGCAGAGCCUGCUUUUUAACCAGAUGCGCAGUGGGUGCGUGUGCACAUUAAAAUUUGAGUAACCGUGGGUAGGGUAGGUUGGCACCCUGGAGCUUCGGGGUUUAACCCAGUUUCAAGUAGAAGCGUUUGUAAACAUUUUCAAAAUCGUAUUUCUCUCUGUUUCAGCCAGAAUGAGAAUGGAAUUCGGAGGGAGAAGUGAGAGAGAGGGCCUUCGCUCUGGUUUCCUGUUCUUCCCGUCCGGCUGAAUGGGGAAGUCCUCUGCGCGGCGGACACAACCACGGUGUGUUUCUCUGGUUUCCCGUUUCUUGAUUCCCCUGAACCCUGCCGCCUGGUUCCUGAGGGUCAGGAAUUGCAGGCUGGCAAAACUGUUGUCUGAGCUAAAGUCCCUGGGUAUCUUUUUUUUUUUUAAUCUCCAAAUAAAAGUUUCUUAGUUGCUUUGAGAAUCUCCUGGAAGUUUCUCUCCUCUAACAUAAUUUUCUUCUUUUGCAAGCCAGGCUUCCCUUAGGUUCACUUUGGAUAAAACUCUAUGAAAAAAAAAACUCUUUUAUGAAAGAGCUCUUUUCCAGAACAAAUCUAGGCUUAUAUUAAUUUAAAUUAAAAAAAAAAAAAGCCGUAAGCAGUGCUAUAGUGGGAAGAAUGGCAGUGUAUAAACAUGGGUUUCUUAUUUAUUCCUGGCCAGUGCUAUUUUAAUUCUUGUGCCCAUUUCCUCUCUCUUCUUAUAGUUCCGGCUUCUUCCUCCCACAUCUCGGGGAAGGCAUUAUGCUCCUUUCUUCACAAACACAGCAAUUGAAAGGGAAGAACAAAACUCCAGACUAAAGAUAAUGCACAAUGUGGGUAAUUGAGAAAUGACUACAGGCCAAUUAUUUCCUUGAAAUAGGUUAUACACUUCUCAUUUUUAAUGUUAUUAUUAGGAAAAAUUUAGAUGCUUUAUUUUCAUAAAGGGAAAAAGAAACCUUCGGGUUUUUGUUUCUUUCUUUUUGCCCACAUAGGAGAGAACUAUAGCAUGCUUCCCAUGAGUGGCAAAUAAUUAAUGCACACUCUGCAUCAUUGAUGAGUUUCUGAACUAGAUUCUCCCUAGGCAUGGAUAAUUUUCAUGACAUUUAAUACAGUUGAAAGAACUAAUGAUUUUUUUUUAAAGUAGAAGAGCUUAACUUGGACCAUCUCUGAACUUGACCACCAAAUAUUUAAUUAUGGAAAGAAAUGGAAACCAGCCUAUUGGGUACAACUGGCAAACCUGUCCAUCAUUGGUUCUACUUCUCUGAACUCUGGUAUCAACUUGAUGAGAACUUGUCACACUCUCUCUCUGGUCUAGAAGCCACCUGGCUCUGCCCAGGGUCCUAGUGCCACUGCAGAGGCAUUUUGAAGACACCUCUCUUUCAGCAUCAGUAAGGGUGGUGGCAACACAGGAAUUAGAGAUAAGGACGAUGCCAUCCAAGUAGUACCUCUGAGUUGAAUUCAGGUUCUUAUUUACAAAGAUAUUUUUGUAAGUUGCUGACAUCAUCAUUGUAACAAUGGUCAUCAUCAUCUAUGGCCUCCUCAUCUUUGUAAUCCUACACAAUUCAAUGACACUAAGAAGGGAGAGUGGAGAAGUGCAGAGUGGAGAAGAAAACUUAAAAUAAAAGAGAUCAUGGUAAAUAAAUGUUAAUUUGCUGUUAGGAAAACAUCCUCACAUGCUCAACUGUAUACUUCUUCCAGGUUUACCCUGUUUGGUGUGGCCCUUGCUUUCGAGGUUCAAGAUGCUGCUUAGCAAUCGAGGCGAAAGAAAGACCGAGGAUCUGCGGACUUUGUCAUUUGCGUUUGCACGUCUGGUAACUGGCUUCAUGGCAGUGUAGAUACCAUGUAUGGGACUGUUUUCAAAGACUAUGAUUAUUAACUAAAAAUACACAUUUUGUGUUUUAU
Long non-coding RNA from Phyllostomus discolor (pale spear-nosed bat), 2527 nucleotides. RefSeq lists it as uncharacterized. The transcript has 2 exons. The record is from RefSeq and is a predicted model, not a curated record. NCBI's taxonomy places the organism in Eukaryota, Metazoa, Chordata, Mammalia, Chiroptera, Phyllostomidae.